CUGAUCUGAAAUGAUUAAAUAAGGAAUGAGCUACACUAGCCCAGAAAAGACAUCACGAUAUCUCACCGUCACGGAGGUAAAGGUGGGUAGAAAACACAAAAAGACCAAUGGAGCAUAAUUUACAACAAAUUCUUUUUAUCAAUAAUAAAUCUUUCACCAUCCACUUACCUCGAUGGAAUCCAUAAAACAGUAUACGAAAGCAAUAACAUUAUCAUCAUCAUGAAAUCAUACAUGAACUGUAUAACAUAAUAC
This 252-nucleotide long non-coding RNA is filed under the name Carica papaya (papaya). Its description in RNAcentral is "long non-coding RNA (CPAP_LNC001631)". The record is from RNAcentral. Lineage: Eukaryota; Viridiplantae; Streptophyta; Magnoliopsida; Brassicales; Caricaceae.